RNAcentral lists this long non-coding RNA (1301 nucleotides) under Manihot esculenta (cassava). Its description in RNAcentral is "long non-coding RNA (MESC_LNC008911)". Lineage: Eukaryota; Viridiplantae; Streptophyta; Magnoliopsida; Malpighiales; Euphorbiaceae. The record is from RNAcentral.
UGAUUUUAGAUUUCAAACCCUAUUAAUUCUUCCUCCAAUUCUGCUCACGCGUAUUCCCUAAGUCAUGCGCCUGAUUGAUACAGCACAAGAGAAAAUCAACUCCCGUGUCUAGGAUAUCUCCAUCAACUUGUCGAUCUUAUCGAUCAAUUUCAAGAUUUUCUGCAACCAAGGAAAAAUUAAAUAAAUGCUCCACUGUACAAGUGGCAUCAACUGAUAUCGAAACUCGAUAUUCCACAGUCUUGUACACAAUUCCAAUAUCGAUGAGUUGCAACAUGUGAGCAUUUCUUCUGUUUCUCCUUAAGUCAAACUAUAGAAUAAAGGAGAUGAAGAAGAAGAAGAAGAAGACAGCAAAACCAUUCGAAUUGGACGGAACAGUAAUCAAAAGAGGAACAGCAACUUGGCUGGAAAGUUGGAGAAAGAACAACAUUGAAGAAUUCGAUUGUUUUUCCAUUAACCAAAGGAAAAUUAAACGACAACGUUCGGCUUCGAAGGUCAACAGGGAUGCCAGUUUUGCACCCCAGUUACUGUGCAUGGCCAUGGGAGCACCCAUGAUAUGUGGCUCUAACACAUUCAGGCCUAAUAUCACCACACCACUGCCUCCAAAUGUUUGGUAUCAUUGUGCAAUUGAAAUUUGAUUGACCUCUCAAUAUGCUCGUCCCGUUCUUUCGCUUGCAUCCUUCAAUUCAACAUAGACUAAGUAUUUAGAUAAGCCAUUAUAAUUCAGGACAAUAUGUGCACAAUUUAAAGCUGCUGUGUAAUCUUUCCUCAGCAUAUCCAUAAAUUGAUAGAAAUUCAAUAUUUGAUUUUUUUCCUUUCUGUGGCAUGAUAAUUUUUUGAAGGAGAUUCUAUACAACAUUACAUUAAAUUUCUUACAAGUCAAUCAACCAACGAUGAAACUGGAAGUAUGAACCCAGAAAUACGGGAAUGUGGUUGUCGGUGAUUUAAUUUAUUACAGAAAAUAUGGAUCUAAAACCCAUUUUAUGGAUAUACUUAAGUGAAUUUUGUCGAUUCUUUUGAAAAUAAUGUAAUAACUCGUUUUUCUUCUUUUGCAGAUCAUACAUAGAUUUUUCAAGUACUAGAGAAAUCGCACCGCUAGCUUCUGUCUGCAGAAUUUGGGACAUGGACUCCACAAUGUGAUGCUUAGGUUUUUCUUUUUCUUUUUCUUUUUCCUUUUUUAAUCCGCUUUUUGAGUCACCUGUCGGUGCUUUUUUUGUUUGGGGGGGGGGGGAUAGGAAACUUUCAUUUAUUUAUUAUAAUUAUUAGUUUUUUUUUUCUAAUAUCCGAUUUUUUUUAGAUUUGGC